Eublepharis macularius is the source of this 113-nucleotide small nuclear RNA. RefSeq annotates it as U5 spliceosomal RNA. NCBI's taxonomy places the organism in Eukaryota, Metazoa, Chordata, Lepidosauria, Squamata, Eublepharidae. The record is from RefSeq and is a predicted model, not a curated record. The transcript has a single exon.
AUACUCUGGUUUCUCUUCAGAUCAUAUAAAUCUUUCGCCUUUUACUAAGGAUUUCUGUGGAGAGGAACAUUUAUGAGAAACCAAGUAAGAACAGCCUUGUUUAGUAACUGGAU